UCUACCCCUAGAGGAGUUGCAGGUGUGGCUGCUGUGUCACUAUGUGUCAGUAGGUGGCAGAAAAGACAGAGUCUGUGUUUACACUCAGUGUUCUGACCUAUGAACAUCUGAAUUAUCAGUAGCCUAAAACU
Acomys russatus (golden spiny mouse) is the source of this 131-nucleotide small nucleolar RNA. RefSeq annotates it as small nucleolar RNA SNORA17. The transcript has a single exon. Lineage: Eukaryota; Metazoa; Chordata; Mammalia; Rodentia; Muridae. The record is from RefSeq and is a predicted model, not a curated record.